Molecule: ribosomal RNA, 274 nt
Filed under: uncultured bacterium
Lineage: Bacteria
Description: partial 16S ribosomal RNA
Rfam family: Bacterial small subunit ribosomal RNA
Source: RNAcentral
CUACGGAGGGGGUUAGCGUUGUUCGGAAUUACUGGGCGUAAAGCGCACGUAGGCGGACUGGAAAGUUGGGGGUGAAAUCCCGGGGCUCAACCUCGGAACUGCCUCCAAAACUUCCAAUCUAGAGAUCGUGAGAGGUGAGUGGAAUUCCAAGUGUAGAGGUGAAAUUCGUAGAUAUUUGGAGGAACACCAGUGGCGAAGGCGGCUCACUGGCUCGAUACUGACGCUGAGGUGCGAAAGCGUGGGGAGCAAACAGGAUUAGAUACCCCAGUAGUCC